Molecule: long non-coding RNA, 361 nt
Filed under: Prunus persica (peach)
Lineage: Eukaryota; Viridiplantae; Streptophyta; Magnoliopsida; Rosales; Rosaceae
Description: long non-coding RNA (PPER_LNC004872)
Source: RNAcentral
UUGUCUUAAUAAAAUUUGUUUCUUAAAAAAAAAAAAAAUAGUUGACUGUUUGGUUUGAUUAAUUCAUGCAUCGAAUUAUGGAAUGAUAAGAGGAAAGUAAUAGAAAAUUAUCUAGCGUUAUUUUCGUCUUAAAAAAAUAUCGGAACUUUUACACUAAGACCCGUUGAGUUAACAAUCCUGGAUCCGCCACUGGCAUUCACCCUUUCAAAUUCUAUGUAACCUAUAUACUAAAUACCAUAGUUAUGAGCUUGUAACUUAUGAGUUGUUAAUGUCUUCUUACCAUUGUAAGCCUAUAAAUAAGAGGUCUUAUCAAGAUGAGAUAUACAAGUUGAUUGAACAAUUUCUAUUGUCUUUUCUCUAC